UGUUUAACAGCCUGCCCACCC
RNAcentral lists this non-coding RNA (21 nucleotides) under Arabidopsis thaliana (thale cress). Lineage: Eukaryota; Viridiplantae; Streptophyta; Magnoliopsida; Brassicales; Brassicaceae. The record is from RNAcentral.